CGCUGCGCCCGUUUCAUUCCAGACGGUGGGGCUCUCGGCCAACUAUGACGCUGCUCUCUUAAAGCUCACAGCCAGCCACUGGGGGCUGAUGUCUGUCUGGGUUGCUUGUUGAUUGACAGGUCUGUGCGGCUGCUUUUUUUUUAUUAAGGUGGCGCCGGUGAGAUUUACCCCGCCCAUUCUCGCUCCCCCUGGUCCCACCAACUCCAGUGAAUCUCCUCUCUGUGUAGAAAAAAAACAGAAUGCCUGUGUGACCAAACUCUGGACGCCGUUUCCCGAUAGCUAAACAACCGUGCGUAUGUAGAAUGAAGUUUUUAACAAACACUACGGAUUGCAGCACAUAACAAAUUAAGUGUUUAACUAAACCACAGAUUGCAGUACCAAAAUAAAAUAAAAACGCAGUUACACUGGACAAACAUACGUACAAGGCCGGUGGUGGCUGGCCCGCUCCAGGAGGCUGAGGUGCGGGAGGUUCCUCCACCCCCUCUGGACAUCGAGGGGGCCCGUCGUACUCUGUUCGUUCCACACUGGAUUUGAGACGUCGGGCGAGGGGCCUUCAGUACCUCAUGGACUGGGAGGGGUAUGGUCCGGAGGAGAAGAUGCUGGGUUCCGUUGGAGGACGUAUUGGAUCCUUAUAUGCUGCAAGACUUCCACUGUCUCCAUCCGGAUCGCCCUGCACCUCGCCCUCCGGGUCGUCCCUGAGGUCUGUGUCGACGUGCUGCUGGAUACACGUGUCGGGGGGGGGGGGAGUACUGUCACGACUUAUGCCAAAGUCGUUCCCUCUCCUUGUUUGGGCGGUGUUCGGCGGUCGACGUCACCGAUCUUCUACCGAUCACUGAUCCAUUUUCCAUUGGUUUUGUCUCGUCUUCCUUCACACCUGGUUCCAUCAAUUACAUGUUGUGUAUUUAACCCUCUGUUUCCCCUCAUGUCCUUGGAGAUUUGUUUGUAUGUUAGUGCUAUUAUGUGUUGGUGCGCAACGGGUUUUGUACCCAUUUUAUUAUUUUUUUGUAUGUUUUGGAGUUUGUUUGUCUUUCUUAUUAAAUGACUCCAAGUUUGUUCUCC
Molecule: long non-coding RNA, 1059 nt
Organism: Oncorhynchus nerka (sockeye salmon)
Lineage: Eukaryota; Metazoa; Chordata; Actinopteri; Salmoniformes; Salmonidae
Exons: 2
Source: RefSeq, a predicted model, not a curated record